This 481-nucleotide ribosomal RNA is filed under the name uncultured bacterium. RNAcentral's name for it is "bacterial SSU rRNA". It matches the Rfam family "Bacterial small subunit ribosomal RNA", at positions 32 to 521 of the family's 1533-position model. The record is from RNAcentral.
AAUCAACGCUGGCGGCGUGCCUCAGACAUGCAAGUCGAACGAUUAAGACUCCCUUCGGGGAGUGUAUAAAGUGGCGCACGGGUGAGUAACACGUAGGUAAUCUACCUUUGAGUGGGGAAUAACAAUCGGAAACGAUUGCUAAUACCGCAUAAUGCAGCGGCACCGCAAGGUGACAGUUGUUAAAGGAGCAAUUCGCUUAAAGAGGAGCCUGCGGCAGAUUAGCUAGNGGUAAGGUAAUGGCUUACCAAGGCUACGAUCUGUAACCGACCUGAGAGGGUGGUCGGUCACACUGACACUGAAUAACGGGUCAGACUCCUACGGGAGGCAGCAGUCGGGAAUUUUGGGCAAUGGGCGAAAGCCUGACCCAGCAACGCCGCGUGAAGGAUGAAGUCUCUAGGGGAUGUAAACUUCGUAAGAAUAGGAAGAAUAAAUGACGGUACUAUUUGUAAGGUCCGGCUAACUACGUGCCAGCCGCCGCCGU